Long non-coding RNA from Mastomys coucha (southern multimammate mouse), 315 nucleotides. RefSeq lists it as uncharacterized. Lineage: Eukaryota; Metazoa; Chordata; Mammalia; Rodentia; Muridae. The transcript has 2 exons. The record is from RefSeq and is a predicted model, not a curated record.
ACCAGUCCCAGCAUGCGCCGAGUCUUUUUUUUUUUUUUUCCGUUGAGCUCAGAACUGUCUGGUGUUCUCUUGCGCCUUAGCAGUGCCUAGCUCCUGAUUUACGGCUGUGGGCUCAGAGGCGGCGAAAGAACUGGCAUUCAUCUCCCUUGCUACUAAGCCCUAUACUAAGCGUAGCAGAUGGCUCAUGGGACUUUAAGGAAGGGUGGAUAGGGAACAAAACUCUACGAGAGUGUCAGUUGGUCCCAGCUCCUUGGUUUGCGUCUGGGCUGCGCUCCUGGGGCUCAAGGCCUAAUUCCAGCUCGCUUCCAGCAAGGA